This 292-nucleotide ribosomal RNA is filed under the name uncultured bacterium. Its description in RNAcentral is "partial 16S ribosomal RNA". It matches the Rfam family "Bacterial small subunit ribosomal RNA", at positions 505 to 796 of the family's 1533-position model. The record is from RNAcentral.
GUGCCAGCAGCCGCGGUAAUACGUAGGUUGCAAGCGUUGUCCGGAUUUACUGGGCGUAAAGCGCGCGCAGGCGGUUCCGAAAGUCGAAUGUGAAAGCUCCUGGCCCAACUGGGAGAGGCCGUUCGAAACUUCGGAACUUGAAGACGGGAGAGGCAGAUGGAAUUUCCGGUGUAGCGGUAAAAUGCGUAGAUACCGGAAGGAACACCAGUGGCGAAAGCGAUCUGCUGGCCCGUCCUUGACGCUCAGGCGCGAAAGCUGGGGGAGCGACCGGGAUUAGAAACCCUGGUAGUCC